GGAGUGUUACAUUCGAAGAGUUUCUGGUUGUAUUUCGCAUUCACAAAUUGUUGGUUCUGUAAUUUUUAGUGCAAAACACAUCUUCUGUGGUGUAUUUUGUCUGCAGUUUAUAGACAGGGAUUGAAGAAUCUAACAGCGUUCCUGCCUGUGAAUACGUUUUGACAACAUGAGCUGGUCGCAUGGUUCAACGCAAGCCGAAGCUGGGU
Paramuricea clavata is the source of this 206-nucleotide non-coding RNA. The record is from the annotation of a GenBank genome assembly. NCBI's taxonomy places the organism in Eukaryota, Metazoa, Cnidaria, Anthozoa, Malacalcyonacea, Plexauridae.